GACGAACGCUGGCGGCGUGCUUAACACAUGCAAGUCGAACGGUGAAGCGCCUUCCUUUUUGGUGGGUGUGGAUGAGUGGCGAACGGGUGAGUAACACGUGAGUAACCUGCCCCCUUCUUCUGGAUAACCGCAUGAAAGUGUGGCUAAUACGGGAUAUUCUGGGUCUGUCGCAUGAUGGGUCUGGGAAAGAUAUUGUUUCGGUGGGGGAUGGGCUCGCGGCCUAUCAGCUUGUUGGUGGGGUGAUGGCCUACCAAGGCGGUGACGGGUAGCCGGCCUGGGAGGGUGGACGGUCACACUGGGACUGAGACACGGCCCGGACUCCUACGGGAGGCAGCAGUGGGGAAUAGUGCACAAUGGGCGCAAGCCUGAUGCAGCGACGCCGCGUGAGGGAUGGAGGCCUUCGGGUUGUGAACCUCUUUCGCCAGUGAAGCAGGCCUGCCUCGUUUGUGGGUGGGUUGACGGUAGCUGGAUAAGAAGCGCCGGCUAACUACGUG
This 494-nucleotide ribosomal RNA is filed under the name uncultured bacterium. Its description in RNAcentral is "partial 16S ribosomal RNA". It matches the Rfam family "Bacterial small subunit ribosomal RNA", at positions 28 to 507 of the family's 1533-position model. The record is from RNAcentral.